GACGAACGCUGGCGGCGUGCUUAACACAUGCAAGUCGAACGGAAAGGCCCUGCUUUUGUGGGGUGCUCGAGUGGCGAACGGGUGAGUAACACGUGAGUAACCUGCCCUUGACUUUGGGAUAACUUCAGGAAACUGGGGCUAAUACCGGAUAGGAGCUCCUGCUGCAUGGUGGGGGUUGGAAAGUUUCGGCGGUUGGGGAUGGACUCGCGGCUUAUCAGCUUGUUGGUGGGGUAGUGGCUUACCAAGGCUUUGACGGGUAGCCGGCCUGAGAGGGUGACUGGCCACAUUGGGACUGAGAUACGGCCCAGACUCCUACGGGAGGCAGCAGGGGGGAAUAUUGCACAAUGGGCGGAAGCCUGAUGCAGCAACGCCGCGUGCGGGAUGACGGCCUUCGGGUUGUAAACCGCUUUCGCCUGUGACGAAGCGUGAGUGACGGUAAUGGGUAAAGAAGCACCGGCUAACUACGUG
RNAcentral lists this ribosomal RNA (468 nucleotides) under uncultured bacterium. RNAcentral's name for it is "partial 16S ribosomal RNA". It matches the Rfam family "Bacterial small subunit ribosomal RNA", at positions 28 to 507 of the family's 1533-position model. The record is from RNAcentral.